CCCUUGAGUUUGAUCCUGGCUCAGAAUCAACGCUGGCGGCGUGCCUAACACAUGCAAGUCGAACGCGACUGUCCCGCAAGGGACAGUUGAGUGGCAAACGGGUGAGUAACACGUGGGUGACCUGCCUUCGAGUGGGGGAUAACGUCCCGAAAGGGACGCUAAUACCGCAUGACAUCCUGCUCUUGGACGAGCGGAGAUCAAAGCUGGGGAUCGCAAGACCUGGCGCUUGAAGAGGGGCCCGCGCCUGAUUAGCUCGUUGGUGGGGUAACGGCCUACCAAGGCAACGAUCAGUAUCCGGCCUGAGAGGGCGGACGGACACACUGGGACUGAGACACGGCCCAGACUCCUACGGGAGGCAGCAGUGGGGAAUUGUUCGCAAUGGGCGCAAGCCUGACGACGCAACGCCGCGUGGAGGACGAAGAUCUUCGGGUCGUAAACUCCUGUCGAGUGGGAAGAACACUUCCCGGGCGAAUAACCCGGGAGGCUGACGGUACCACUAAAGGAAGCCCCGGCUAACUCCGUGCCAGCAGCCGCGGUAAUACGGGGGGGGCAAGCGUUGUUCGGAAUUACUGGGCGUAAAGGGCUCGUAGGCGGCCAACUAAGUCGGAUGUGAAAUCCCCAGGCUCAACCUGGGAACUGCAUCCGAUACUGGAUGGCUUGAACUCGGGAGAGGGAUGCAGAAUUCCAGGUGUAGCGGUGAAAUGCGUAGAUAUCUGGAGGAAUACGGGUGGCGAAGGCGGCAUCCUGGACCGACAUUGACGCUGAGAGCGAAAGCUAGGGAGCAAACGGGAUAGAUACCCCGGUAGUCUA
RNAcentral lists this ribosomal RNA (810 nucleotides) under uncultured bacterium. Its description in RNAcentral is "bacterial SSU rRNA". It matches the Rfam family "Bacterial small subunit ribosomal RNA", at positions 1 to 797 of the family's 1533-position model. The record is from RNAcentral.